AAAUCUUGAUUGAAUCAUAACAAAAUCCUAAUAUAACCUUUAAUAAAUCCUAAAUCAAUCCUAAAUCAAUCCUAACCAAAUCUUAAAUCAAGCCUUAAUAAAAUCUUAAAUAAACCCUAAUUAAACUCUAAAAAAAGUCUAAAUUCUAACCAAAUCCUAAUCAAAUGCUAAAUCAAUCUUAAUCAAGUUAUAAAAAAAUCCUAAAUCAAUCCUAACCAAAUAAUAAUCAAAUCUCAAUCAAAUCAUAAUCAAAUCCUAAACCAAAUUCUAAGUCUUAAAUAAAGUCUUAAAAAUCCCUAUAG
Molecule: long non-coding RNA, 302 nt
Filed under: Physcomitrium patens
Lineage: Eukaryota; Viridiplantae; Streptophyta; Bryopsida; Funariales; Funariaceae
Description: long non-coding RNA (PPAT_LNC015022)
Source: RNAcentral